Molecule: long non-coding RNA, 217 nt
Filed under: Elaeis guineensis (African oil palm)
Lineage: Eukaryota; Viridiplantae; Streptophyta; Magnoliopsida; Arecales; Arecaceae
Description: long non-coding RNA (EGUI_LNC034595)
Source: RNAcentral
UGUCAGAUCGACCCCCCAUCACCUCCUCUUGUCGGAUUGACCUCCUGCCCAUCCCCUGGCCGGAUCGGGCCCCUUGCCGCCUCCCCCUUACAAAGGAUCGAGCCCUCCACUACCUCUCCUUAUCGGAUCCACCCCCUGGUCUCCUCCUGCCUCCCCAAGCCCCCAACCACCUACCCAAGCCCCAAGCCCUCAGCUACCUUCCAUCUCUCCGAGGCCC